Molecule: unclassified non-coding RNA, 241 nt
Filed under: uncultured archaeon
Lineage: Archaea
Description: 16S-23S ribosomal RNA intergenic spacer
Source: RNAcentral
AACGAAUUUGAUUUUUGGGUAUUGCGGUUGCUAAGCAAACUGUAAAAUUGCCGGUGUUGACAAGAAUAAGGUUCAAUUGCCGCAAAUGGGGGCGAAAGAAUACGGGUUCGAAUCCCGUUGAACCGUUUAAGAUGCACCUCGGGAUGCGAAUCACGAGGGAAGGGCCGAGAGUCAAACCAAUGACUUUUCGAGGCCGUGUAAAGGUUUGCACACAGGACGUUAAAUGGGUUUAGCGGAGCAU